Molecule: long non-coding RNA, 229 nt
Organism: Sinocyclocheilus grahami
Lineage: Eukaryota; Metazoa; Chordata; Actinopteri; Cypriniformes; Cyprinidae
Exons: 3
Source: RefSeq, a predicted model, not a curated record
CAUACUGAACAUUGUGAUGUUUUCUGCAAUAAUAGGUCUAUUCCAGAUCAAACUUCAGGAAUAUAAAAAAACACACCAACAAUGUCAAAAUGAAGAAUUGGAGCAGCUUUACGGCACAAAUGAUGAAGAGUUUUCUGAAGUGGAGUUUUGUCUGUCCCAUCCAAACAACAACACUUUGGUUCCUUUUCAAAAGCCAAAGAAAAAACCUAUGAUAUAAUCAAGAGUAAAU